RNAcentral lists this ribosomal RNA (253 nucleotides) under uncultured bacterium. RNAcentral describes it as "partial 16S ribosomal RNA". It matches the Rfam family "Bacterial small subunit ribosomal RNA", at positions 524 to 776 of the family's 1533-position model. The record is from RNAcentral.
UACGUAGGGUGCAAGCGUUGUCCGGAAUUAUUGGGCGUAAAGAGCUCGUAGGCGGUCUGUCACGUCGGCUGUGAAAUCCCGAGGCUCAACCUCGGGUCUGCAGUCGAUACGGGCAAACUAGAGUAUUGCAGGGGAGACUGGAAUUCCUGGUGUAGCGGUGAAAUGCGCAGAUAUCAGGAGGAACACCGGUGGCGAAGGCGGGUCUCUGGGCAACAACUGACGCUGAGGAGCGAAAGCGUGGGGAGCGAACAGG